This 86-nucleotide transfer RNA is filed under the name Alphaproteobacteria bacterium. RNAcentral's name for it is "tRNA-Leu". It matches the Rfam family "tRNA". From Rfam's summary of the family: Transfer RNA (tRNA) molecules are approximately 80 nucleotides in length. Their secondary structure includes four short double-helical elements and three loops (D, anti-codon, and T loops). Further hydrogen bonds mediate the characteristic L-shaped molecular structure. tRNAs have two regions of fundamental functional importance: the anti-codon, which is responsible for specific mRNA codon recognition, and the 3' end, to which the tRNAs corresponding amino acid is attached (by aminoacyl-tRNA synthetases). tRNAs cope with the degeneracy of the genetic code in two manners: having more than one tRNA (with a specific anti-codon) for a particular amino acid; and 'wobble' base-pairing, i.e. permitting non-standard base-pairing at the 3rd anti-codon position. The record is from RNAcentral. Lineage: Bacteria; Pseudomonadati; Pseudomonadota; Alphaproteobacteria.
GCCCCAGUGGUGGAAUGGUAGACGCGGUAGACUCAAAAUCUACUACCUUUGCGGGUGUGGGGGUUCAAGUCCCUCCUGGGGCACCA